Molecule: long non-coding RNA, 15831 nt
Filed under: Homo sapiens (human)
Lineage: Eukaryota; Metazoa; Chordata; Mammalia; Primates; Hominidae
Description: HSALNT0379639
Source: RNAcentral
AGACCCGGAUGCCGGCGAGGUCCUGGCUGGGAGAGGCCGCCGCUGCCUUCAGGUUUCCGAGGUGGGUAGAGAGGUUCCCGCUGCUUUGAGGUCAAGGCUCCUCGGUGGCAGCCACAGCAAAGGCUCCAGUGUCCGCCGCAGGGCAGAGGCCGGGCCUGUCUGGGGACCCCCGACUCAUCUGAGGCUCAGGGCGGAGGGUCCAGUGAACUGACCUUGCCCCGCUUCUCACCACGCGCCCAGUGUCACUGUAUUCAGCCACCACUGCACAAAGGCGGCACAGCUCUGUGCCCUGAGAAGCCCCUCAUUCCCUCAGUGACUCCACAGGGAACACCGGGUGGGCCCCUGGAUUCACAGCCCUGUAGCACGCUGCCCAAGGGGCCCCCUUGCUCUCCCACCACCCAGAACACCGAGCCCGUUGUCAAGGCUGAACCAUCCGCGGGCAGCUGGGACCAGGGAACAUGGUGAGGGGCUCACGGCACCUGGCGUGCAGAUCCCAGUAGCUGGAUGCGGUUCUGCUAAUCACUAACAGGCUUGCAGGCUUCCCCAGGAAUCCACCCAUAAACUUCACAGAACACCGUGUCUGUGAACCACCCAGUAUGUGCAUUCAGUUUCUAACCUCACUCUGGUCCGGAAUCUGCCACCUGCAGGAUCCAAUUAACAAGAGAGAGAUCUGGUACAAAGAUUAUUGUAUUAACCAUAAUGGUAAAGGGGAAGUGACCGCAUUCCCAUCCCAAGCAACCACUUGAAUUUUGAAGGAAAGGCAGGGGUUUAAAAAAGGAAAAGUUGGUAAGAAAGGCAUGCAAGAUUUGGGCUGAGAACCAGGUCUGUGCGUCUUGUUCUGGCGGCUCUCUGGCAUCCCAGUCCACCUAGAUCUUGGGCUGGCAUCAUCUGGGCAAUGCCUGGGUUGUUAACUAGCAACAUUGAAGUCACCUCUGGAAUUCUGCAUCAGGGUCUCCCGACUUUGUCUAUCUGUCUCAAAUUAGCUUCCGGAACUUCCAAAAAGGCACAUAGUUCGAUGCAAACAUAAAGUUAGAUUAAUGUGAAGGGAAUAUUUAUGGUGAAAGGGAGAAAGGUGGAGUCUAUUUCAAGGCGUAAGAAAAUUGAUUCUGCUGUUUGCCUCAAGAUUAUAUCUUUACACCCAAGAGAGACAGAAAAGUUUAACCUCUCUUCUGCCACCAUGUAUGACUGCCUUGCUUCCCCUUUUUCUUCUGCCAUGAUUAUAAGUUUCCUGAGGCGUCCCAAGCCAUGCAGAACUGUUUGGUGUGGAGAUUACUGAAGAAGGGUUUUACUUACUACUUGACAGAAUUCCCCUUGGUGAAGAGGAAAUGUCAGAGAUCUUUAAUUCAUGACGAUGUUGGAUUAUUGGCAGUUGGCUCACUAAGGAUCCCAUGUCCAAGAGCAGGAUUCUCCUUCCAAAGUGUGGGUGUGGACUUGAGGAGCAGCCUUUGAAAGAUGGGGCCCCUAGAAUUUAUAGAACUUCCUUUGAUUCCUUGGAGGUUUGCAGUCUCCAGGUUGUCUGUCAUCCAGGACUUUGACUGUUUGUGUGAAAGAGUGCUUCCUUUUGGGUGAAGAAUUCUGUAUGAAUAUCCUAGGGCUGCCAAAAUGAAAUACUACAAACUGGGUGGCUUAAAAAUGACAGGACUGUAUUCUCUCACAGUUCUAGAGACUAGAAGUCCAAAAUCAAGUGUGAGCUGGGCUGCACUCCCUCUGAGACUCAGGAGAAUUCUUCCUUGCCCUUUCCUCACUUGUGGAGGUGACUGGUAAUCCCGGACAUGCAUUGGUUUACUGCUGCACCACUCUGAUCUUUGCCUCUGCUGUCAUAUGGCACACUGUAUGUCUCUGUCUCUGUGUCCAAAUUUCCUUGUACUUAGAAAGACACCCAUCUUCCCACAUUGAGGGCCUGCCCUGCUCAAGUAAGACCUCAUCUUCACUAAUAACAUCUCCAGCUACCAUAUUUCCAAAUAAGGACGUGUUCUGAAGUGCUGGUUGUCAGGACUUUGACAUAUCAUUUGGGUACACAGUUUAAUACAUGACGAACCCCGUUACAGAGCUACCAUGUCUAGUGUCUUACACAUUUUGUUUGGAGGGGGAGGGUAAAAAUAACAAUGGACUCCUGUGUGUUCUCUGACGAUAGCAAUACCAAUAGCUACCAUGUAAUGCCUAUUAGUUGUUAGGUACUAAAUAUUAACUAAUUUCAUUCUUACAACAACCCUACUUUACAUAUGAGAAAACUGGGGUACAGGAAGUAACUGGCCCAUUGUCCUCCAGUUAGCAGUGGCAGAGACGGUAUACAAAGCCAGACUUCCCAGCUCCAGAGGCCGCAUACUUAAUACCACCCUGCCUUCUGGACAGUCAGGACAAGCAAUUAUGCCUGUGGUAAACAUACUGUGCUGACAAGUAAGGUUACACUUGAAAUGUGGCUUACAAUGCAAGGUAUAGAGAUUACAGGCAAUUCAUGUGUUCUGGUUAUUUGUUGCUAUUAAGUCUGAAUUAAAAUGUAAGUGUGAAAUUUCAGGUUUCAGGGAGUAUAAAAAAUAAUAUUAAAACCUCAAAUACUAAGUUUAAAAUGCAUUUUGAAAUUAAGCUGCCUGUAUAUCAUUCCCCACUGUCAAAUUCCAUUUCGUUUCUAUGGAAAACAUGUGUCAUAGUCAUUCUGGCUACUUCUUUAGAAAGGGCAUAGGUUGUAUGUAUUGGAAGGGAAUCCAUUAAACUGGAGUUGGAAAUAUUCUGGAGUCUCCGGAAUUACAGUAGGUGUUUGUUGGAGCAUUAUGGUGCAAGGACCUAGGAGUUUUUGAGAAGGUCAGUAUUACAUUCUCACUUAAAGUGCAAGAUAGCAAUAAAAUCCAUAGCAAUUGAAGAUAGCAAUGAACAGAAUACCAGCUCUACUAUAUAUGAAACUCUUCCAUGUGUUAGGAAGUCAACUAAACCAUGCUGUCAUGGGGUUCUGAGAGAGGGCAUCCAUCUCUAGCAGAAAUAUGGGUAUCUAAUGCUUGCAUAGCUUGAGUUAUAUUGUGGGACUAAUCUUGUAUAUAUAUGCAACAUUCAGUGUUCAUUAAUACACAAGUGUUACCUUUGGCUGUAGUUGCAAUACCUAGGGUCAUAUAGCUUCAUAGUGUCACUUGUCAAAUCUGUGAGGUUUCUUCAGUAAGAAUGAUGAUGGCAUGGUAGGUGUUGUUAAAGGGACUGGUGGUUUGCUUAGCCAGGGCCUCUACUUGCAAUUCUAAAUCUAUGACUGCCACCUGGGGGGAAGAGCUGGCUAGUGGGCAGAACAACUAGGAUGUCUGUUUAUGUCAGUAGUGUCUGUCUUUCACACUUUUCCAGUUGACAUAAAGAGAAUGCACUUUGGACAGUUACAUCCUGGGAUAUAAGGUCAUAUCCAGUUGCUUCUUUUAGUCCAGUUGUAAGGAAAGUAGGGCCAGCCAUGAGUGCCACAGGCUGUAGCUAACCCCAGAGGGAAGAACAGAUUCCACUCUGCAGGCUGGCAUUGCCUUGUCAUCCCAGCCACAUAUUAAGGGCUCAGUUACAUUGCUAAGGAGGCAACAAUUCCAUAUCAUGAGUGACAGUGUAGAGUAUGCUGUGGUGUUUCUUCACACAUAGCAGUGCUUGACCAAUUACUUGGAUUCGCACCACUGUCAGCCAUCCUACCUCACUGGAUAUGGCAUAGCCUAUAGUGGGAGUGAUAUUAAUGAAGUGUCUUCUGUUUUUAUAAUAGAUGGAAAAGAUGGCUUCUCCAAUGGAUGGAAAAUCAUAAAUUCUUACGUUGGGAGCUUGUAUUAUGCCAGGGCAGGCCUAUAGUGGAAGAAAUGGGCAAACUCUUUACAGAACCAACUAUGUUUUCUUUUGCAGGGAAGCCACCAUCUUCCACCCAUUCAGCAAAAAAGAUUAGUUUUAAUAAGGAGAAAUAAUGUACUUAUAACUAUAGAACUCAUUAAGAAUUUUAUAUUAACAGAAGGGUAUUACCUAUCUGUCUUCUUGUCUCCUCUUUAUCAGCAACUUCAGGUUUUCCUUAGGCUUAUGUGACCAGGUAGUCUGUUAUCUGGGGUCAAAUUGAGGUGGGACAGGUUUUUUCCAACAGCGAUGCACCCAUGGCUUUACAUUGGAUAACUUAACUGAACAAAGGUUAAUCAGUAGCACAUCAUGGGGUCUGUUCCACCUUUCAGUCAGCUGCUGAUCUUGUUUUUGACUUUUACAAGACUGUAGUGGCAUCUUGUCUCUUGGAUGGAAGGGGUGAAGAGGCUCACUGUGGAAUAAACAGGCCUGGAAAUAGCAAGCUGAUGUGCAGUUAGCAAGGUCUGCACCAAUCUGCACAUAUGGUUUAACUCUGGGCUCUUUUACCAGCUCUAAAGGUGCUGUUACUGGCAAGAGGUCUGGAAGGGCCUCCUAUAUAUAAUUUCAAAGAGACUUUUCCCAAGCCCACUUCAGGGCACCGUUCUGCCCCAGAACAAGGCAAUAAGAAAAAAUCUAUCCCAACGCAGGUCAAUUUCCUGCCUGAGUUUGGCUAUUGUCUUCUUCAAGGUGUUAUCUUUUAUUUCUUUACUGCUGACUGUGGUCUCCAUGAUGACUGUGGUUUCCAUUCGAUUUGCAGUGCUUGACUUACCUUUUGAGUAAACUCUGAAAUAAAAGAAAGAUCGUUGUCACUGUGUAUAGUGCAUGGGAGUCCAAACCUGGCAACGAUUUCCUUGAAUUAUGCCUUAGCCAGUCAUGUGGCUCUUUGGGACUUGGUGAGAUAUGCUUCUACCCAUCUUGAAACAAUAUCUAGAACAAUCAGGAGGAAUUUAUAGUUGCCACUGGCCACAGGCAUGUGAGUGAAUCCACUUGCCAAUCUUCCAAGAGUCACAGUUCUCUGUGUUGUACCUCUUCGUUGCAAAGAUUUUGUUCAGUCUCAAAGAUAUUUUUGGCACACAAAACACACUCGUAUGUGACUUUCUGAACAGUUUUCUGACCAUUCUGACACAUGGUCAUACAAAGUCUGCAAGGGAAUCUCAUUUGGAGUGUGUGCCCUCAUGUAAAUGUUUUAAAAUUGUAGACCAGGGCCUCGGAGAGUAAGAAUAAUCCAUAAGCAUUAGUUUUUCAGAAUAAAUCUGGAUCUGUUUUACCAAAUCCCCAGUCGCAGGCAUGCUUCUUGUCUAUUUAGUAUAAUGGAGUUUGAACUAUGGAAACUCCAGAUGUGGAAUCAAAGCUCAUAGCAGGUGUGCAUCCUGCACUGCUCACUUCUCAGCCUUUUCUGCAGUCUGAUUUCCUUUAGGUGCCAAUGAGUCAUCUUUUGGGUGCUCAGGGCAAUGCAUAAUGGAGGAUGAGAAGGAUGAGAACACACCUCUAGUAGUUUAACACCAUUUCUAUUGGGUGUUUAAUGUCCUUAUUUCCUGAUGAGACAAGGCCUCUUUCUUUCCAGAUGGCCCCAUGAGCAUGCACCACCAUGAAGGUGUACUUAGUAUAGGUGUCAAUGUUUACUCAACUUGGUGAGGGUGAUUAGCUCAGGUUUCGGACCAGAGGUACUGGCAGAAAGGGCACAGGCUUCUAUUAUCCAGUCAAUAGUUAUGAUCGCACAACUGGCUCAGCAUUUUUCCUCCUCCAUGAAACAGCUCCCAUCAGUUUAAAUUUCCCAAUCUGGAGCAUUUAUUGGCUGGGCUUCCAGGUCUGGGCUGCUGAAGUUGACUGCAUCAAAAAAUUUCAAACAGUCAUGCACUAAAUCAAAAUCAAGUGCUGUAGCUGGGAGCAGAAAUUUAAAAUUACCUUUAUUUUUCCUCUAUUGCCUCCCCAACAUGAAUCCAUCAGAAGAUACAUCAUUCAUUAUUUCAAAAUAUAUUCUACAUUUAUAUAUCCAAAGAAAUGUUACUGUGGAAAUAUUUCAUCAGAUCUUCAUCAUGAGACUCUGUGAGGGCAGAGACUUGGCCUCACCUCCCAUUAGCUCCACUCCCACACUGGAGAGCUUGCAGUCCUGAGCCUGCAGAAGCUGAGCUGCAUGGCCAGCUUGGCUUGAGUGAAGGAGUGGAUGUGUGUUCCCCUCCACAUGGGGUAUGUGAGCCUGAGGGUCUGGGAAUUAAUAUAUUCCUAAAAAAAUACAUCCUAUCUUGUAUAUGGUGGGUUCAGGCUUUCUGUUUGUUGAUCUCGAUUCCCCUGAGUGAUCCCCAUCUUUCCAACUUUGUGGAAGACAAAAGUGAAAUAACUAUUGGGACAAUUCUUCUCUACAGACAAUGGAGACUCUGAGAACAUCCAGAAAUAUCCACAGGACUGGCGAGGCUGUGGGCUUUCAACCACCACGAGAGGCUGUUUGCAUAUGAUUCUUCUAAAAUUGACAUCAGUGAAAUGCCUUGAAGAUAAUAAAGUGUUGAAGAAAUAAACAAAAUCAGAAUAUAUGGGAUCAGUUAGAAAGCUCUUAUUUAAGGUGAGUUUAUGAAAUGAGGAUGAUUGCACUUGUAAAUUCUUAGAAUUCUUAGAGUGAUUAUGUAGAUUACAGUUAUUCCAGUACCUGGCCCUUGGUAAGUUUUGCUUUCACACUUAUGAUCUUUUUCCUCCAAAAUGAAAGGUACAUCUGUUUCCAUAGUUUAAAAAUAUGUCUGUGUCUGCCUGGCUUGUCAGAGGUUUACAAGGCAUGGAGAUUAAAAGCCCUUCCCUGGGGAGGAGCCCUGACCCCCACCUCCUGUGCCUGACCCAGUUCAGUGGUUCCUAAGUACACCCUGGUGACCUGAUCCUUCCCCUUGUGGUCCCAAGAACCCCUGCAGGGCAGGUUUGUGUCUGAGUUCACUCUGGAUUCGAGUCACAGUGCCUUGAGCACAGUAAUACACGCCUGCCUCCCCAGCCAUCACACUUCUCAGCUGUAAGUUUUCUUGUUUUUUACUAUGUGUUUCUGGAGAUGCUAGCUCUGCCCUGAAGGUUGGGGCUUAGUGUUUCCCUUAACCCAUAUCACACCAACACACUGAAGACCUUUUGAUGGGAGAUGGUGGAUCCAGGAAACAGAAUGUUCAGAAAUUGAAUGUGCAUAGGCGGCAUAGGUGAGGCUGAGCAUGACCAAGGGGACCACUACUUCUUCCUCCCAUUGCACAAGGUGGUCCUCACUGUGAACCCCUGAGAAUAGAGAACAUCUGUGAGUCACAGACACAUUUGCCUCAUCCCGUGUCUCCCCACGUAUGAAAUCAUGAGUAACUCACCACAGAGGGCAGCCAGCAGGCAGAGAAGGAGUAGCGGAGGGGCCAUGUAUCUAUGGAUGUGGAGAGUGCUACUAGAGACCCCAGCUCAGAGCCAGCACACAGCAUAACACUCACAGCCCUGCCUCUAUUCGUUCUUGAACCCGGGACUUAUUUGCAUGGACAGAGCCCCAAGGGCAUAGGGUGAAGGGGUAAUGUGAGGGGGAGCUCACUGCCCCUGAGCUCUCCUCAGACAGGGUCAUAGAAUGGGGUCUUGUCUUGUAGAACAGUGGGGAAUCUCUGGGUUCCAGGAAAAUGAAAACUUAAAUGUAUCUCAGGACUCUGGAGCUCCCUUUAGGAGUCUCUGUUUCUGUCUUCUUGCUAAAUAUUCUCAGCAAGAUCAGCUGAAAUUCGUCAUUAGAAGAGGGAGUUCUUAGUAUUCUUUGGCUGGAAAGAAGGCUCUUCUCCCAUGACCAACUAAAUAAGCAACCAAUAUAAUCUAAUAUACAUUAUCAAUGUCACAUGAGUCAACAUAGACUGCUUUCUUUAUUUUUUUUCUUUUAAGCAUAUUGUUCAACAUUUGUUCUAUUUUAAAAUCUUCAAGAGACGUUCAUAUGAAAAUAUAGCUUAAAUAUGGCCUCAUUGGUGCAGAUGAUAAAGCAUGGAAACUUUGCUUUUUCAGAAACAUGGAGGAUAUGAGAGCAAGCAAUGAAGUAAUGUUACAAAAUGACAUAUUUGAGUAGUUCAUACUGGUGGAAUUUUCCUGGCACUCUCAUGAGUUGAAACAUAAUCAUUAAAGACUCUGGCACUUGAAACCGUGAUGACAGCUGCAUUUCUUGCAGUCAAGGGAACUCGGAGUGUUUUAGCUUAUGGGUUCUGUGGAAGCCAGGCCACUUGUCUUCCUCGCUUCAGCCCCCUUCGCACAGGAGGUGACGAAUCUCUUCCCUCACUGGAGUUCCUGGAGCCAGAGUAUACAAAGAAGCCACACACAAAGCUCCUAAAGAGAGCUCCACAGGCCUGAGACAUAUUAAAUUGUCAUCUUCCUGGGACCAAGAGAUUCCCUCCAUUAUGAAAAUGUUGUACAGCCUUAUUAUGCAACACACUCUGUUUUGCUCUGUGUGAGUUCCACUCCCACUGUCACAGCUCUGUCAGCAGACCCUGAGGCCUGGGCAUCAAUUUCAAAUCUUCAUGGAGAGCCAAUGCUGUGGGAAGGGUGUCCUUUAGUCUGUGAUAUUCACGAGUGAGGGACAGAGCUGGACAUUUUAGUGAAUCUCAGAGCUGCAGGGAAAGUACUGUCUUCAGCUACUCUUCUCUGCCUAGACUUGGGACUAUUCUAUAAUUUCCUCACUGGAUUAAUAAUCGGUACCUGUUGAAUCCUGUGUCCACUGUUCAAUAUAACCCGGUAGGGUGGAACAAUCGGAAAAUCAUCUGCUUUAUGCCUGCAUCCUCUCCUGGCUAAGAUUUCAAUAGGUCCAGUUGUGCACAUUAGGUAGAAUUGUCAUGUCUGAAGAAGGUAGUAUCAUUCUUGUUUUGUAGUUUAUUCUGUAAGGGUUUCUAAUUACAGCACUGCAUAACCAAUGACCAUAAUCAAGAAGGAGACAUUCAGCAUGAGACUCCACAGAAGGUGCUAGUCUCAUAGAGAAGUAGACCUCCAUUGAGAAGCUCAGAUGUAGGGACGAGCCCCACAGGGUCGGUGGGUUUUUCUCCCUGUGUGUGGAGAUGAGAGAUUGUAGAAAUAAAGACACAAGACAAAGAGAUAAAAGACAGCUGGGCCCAGGGGACCACUACCACCAAGACAUGGAGACCGGUAGUGGCCCCGAAUGUCUGGCUGCACUGAUAUUUAUUGGACACAAAGCAAAAGGGGCAGGGUAAAGAGUGUGAGUCAUCUCCAAUGAGAUAGGUAAGGUCAAGUGGGUCACGUGUCCACUGGACAGGGGUCCUUUCCUGCCUGACAGCUGAGGCAGAGAGAGAGAGAGAGGGAGAGAGACAGACAGCUUACGCCAUUAUUUCUGCAUAUCAGAGACUUUUAGUACUGUCACUAAUUUUGCUACUGUUAUCUAAAAGGCAGAGCCAGGUAUACAGGAUGGAACAUGAUAGCAGACUAGGAGAGUGACCACUGAAGCACAGCAUCAGAGGGAGAUGAUUAGGCCUCCAGAUAACUCAGGUGGGCCUGACUGAUGCCCUACACAAGAGGUGGAGGAGGAGAGUCUUCUCUAAACUCCCCUGGGGAAAGGGAGACUCCCUGUCCUGGUCUGCUAAGUAGCGGGUGUUUUUCCUUGACACUGACGCUACCGCUAGACCACGGUCUGCUUGGCAACGGGCAUCUUCCCAGAAGCUGGUGUUACCGCUAGACCAAGGAGCCCUCUGGUGGCCAUGUCCGGGCAUAACAGAAGGCUCGCAGUCUUGUCUUCUGGUCACUUCUCACCAUGUCCCUUCCACUCCUAUCUCUGUAUGGCUUGGUUUUUCCUAGGUUAUGAUUAUAGAGCGAGGAUUAUUAAUAACAUUGGGAUAAAGAGUAAUUGCUAUAAACUAAUGAUUAAUGAUAUUCAUAUAUAAUCAUAUCUAUGAUCUAUAUCUAGUAUAACUAUUCUUAUUUUAUAUAUUUUAUUAUACUGGAACAGCUUGUGCCCUCGGUCUCUUACCUUGGCACCUAGGUGGCUUGCCACCCACACUCAGAGACCUUUCUCCCUGGGUAAAGUGUGCAGUCCACCAGGGUGCAGACAUGCUCUAAAUCCAUAGACACCUGAUGUGUCCUAGAAGUAAGGAGCAUAGGUAUGAGCAACCCUACCCCAUCCUCUGUAGCUGACAUCAUUCCCAGUGAUCACUUGACAAGUGUGUGGUGCUGCCCAGUUCAUUGAUGCUUCUCAUGUAGGAGACUAGCAGGCCAGGGAAGAGCACCAUCUUGGCAAAAACAGCUGAACCUGUCAUUAGGUAAGGGAUGUUUUUCCAUAAUAGAAGACAUAAAUUUAACUAUCAUUAAGUCCUCUAGGUUGUCAUUUGAAACUGCCCAAUAUUGAUAGCAUAUGGACAAAUGAAAACCUCAAUAAGUAAUUAGCUGAGUGAUGUUUAAUGUAUUGUAGUGUGACCUACUGAUGCUGAGCUACACGGUAGUUGUGCUGAAAUGAGUGUGGGUAGAGGUCCUCCUCCACAUGGUGUAGGUGAGCCUGAGGGUCUGGCGACCAACAUGUACCUGGAGAAGAUGCCCAUGGGCAGCAGAACUUGUUAUAGUGGGUUUGCUGAAAGUGUCUAUUUUGGUCCCCUCUAUUAUGUCCCCACAAAGCAUGUUCUGGACUUCUGACCGUCAAGAGGGCAAAAAGCAGUGAAGGGCUGAGAGAAUUCUUUCUGUCUCUUGAACCUGAACAUACUGAGAAGCCUAGAGAGAGCUCGGAGCUCCUGGAGACGCUUAUGGGAUUUUACCACCCAGGAAGACUCUUUGCACAUUAUCUGUCUAGAUAAACACUCAUGCAACACUUUAGUAAAGAUAAAAUGAUAGAAGAAAUUGUCAAAUAACUUCAAUUCAGAAUAUUAAAGUUUAUUUAGAAAGUCAGCAGCAUGCAGUUUUAUUAUUGUAGUUUCAUAGCAUAUUUGCAGUUCAGGUACUAGGAAACCUCCCCCCGCUUUGAUGUUUGUAUUCAAGGUUACUUUGGACAUCUGGGGUCUUUUGUGAUUCAAUUUUAUCAUUUAAAAAGUAGUUUGUUGAAAAUGUCAUUUGUAUAGAAAUUGCUUUGGAUCUGUAGAUUGCUUUGGGUAGUAUAGACAUGUUAACAGUAUUAUUAUCUUCAAUCUGUGAAUAUGGAAUAGUUUCCCAUAUAUUUGCAUAUAGAUUUAUUUAUUUCAUCAAUGUCAUAUAGUCUUCAAUGCACAGAUUUUCACUUAUUUGACCAACAUUUUUUCUAAGUGAUUUUUAGAAAUAGAUAUUGGUCUUGCUGUGUUGCCCAGGCUGGUCUCAAACUCCUAGCCUCAAGUGAUUCUCCCCUACCUCCCAAAGUACAAGAAUUACAGGUGUAAACUACUGUGCAUGGCCACUAAGUAAGUUAUUUAAUAUUGUAAAUGCAACUGACAUUGUCUUAUGAUUUUUAAAUAGUUAAUUUUUAGUUUUUAGUAACACUACUGAGUUUUCCAUAUAAAUUUUGUAUACUGCAAUGUUACUAAAUUUGUUUGUUAGUUUUCAGUGGCUGUUUUUUCAGAAUUUUUUAUUUUUUUGGAAUUUAUAAAGUUAUAUUGUCUGUAAACAGAAACAAUUUAACUUAUUCCCCUCAAUUUGUAUGCCUUUUACUAUUUUUUUCUUUCUCAAAUUUCUAUGGUUAAAACUAUCAUCAAUAUGCUGAUUAGAAUUAUUAAGACUGGGCAUUCUUUUCUUAUUCCUUAUCUUAGAAGAAAAGCUUUCCAUUGUUCUCAGCAGGAAGGUUUAUGUCUGGACUCACAUUGACUUCCUCUCACUGUUUGUCUUGCACAGUAAUACAAACCAUGUCCUCAGAUGUCACAGAGCUCAGGUAUAGUCAAAAUUGUUUCUUGGAUGAAUCUCUGGAGAAGGAGAGUUGGCUCUGCAGAGAUGGAUCAUCGUGUGUGUCACCCUUGCAAUGUGUUCCUGACAGCCCAUGGAAGCGGGCUAGUGGAUUCAGCUCCAGCAGUAACUGUUGGUUGGGAUGGACAACCCAGAAAUGGGGCAUGUGAGGAAGAGAAAAUGAAAGUGGAUAGCCUGUUACCGAAAACUGCUGGACUAAGACACUUGUAAGCCUGUCAAUCUCAGUGGCCAACAGACAUGAAAAAAAUUUCCAACAUCAUUAAUUAUCAGAGAAAUGCAAAUAAAAACAACAAUGAAAUACCAUCUCAGACCAGUCAUAAUAGCUAAUAUGAAAAAAGUUAAACAAAAAACAGCUGCUGGGUGGGAAGUGAAGAAAAGGGAACACAUACAUGGGUGGUGGAAAUGUAAAUUAGUUCAGCACUGUGCAAAGCAGUUUAGAGAAUUCUCAAAGAACUUGAAACAGAGCUACUGUUUGACCCAGCAAUCCCAUCAUUAGGUAUAUAGCCAAAGUAAAAUAAAUCAUUCUACCAAAAAAUGCACAUGCACUCAUGCCUCUUGCCACACUAUUCACAACAGCAAAGAUAUGGAAUCAAUCUAGGUGCCAAUCAAUGAUGUAUUAGAUGAAUAAAAUGGUAUGUAUGCAAUAUAAAAUCAUAAAAUACCACACAUUCAUAAAAAAAAGUGUGGUGGCUCACACCUAUAAUCCCAGCACUUUGGGAGGCUGAGGCAGACAGAUCAUGAGGUCAGGAGAUCAAGAUCAUCCUGGCCAAUAUAGUGAAACCCCCUCUCUGCUAAAAAUACAAAAUUUAGCUGGGCAUAGUGGCACAUGCCUGUAAUCCCAGCUACCCGGGAGGCUGAGGCAGGAGAAUCACUUGAACCAGGGACUUAGAGGUUGCAGUAAGCUGAGAUCGCGUCACUGCACUCCUGCCUGGUGAGAGAGUGAGACUCUGUCACAAAAGAAACAAAAUCAUGUCCUUUGCAGCAACAUGGAUGCAGCUGGAGGUCAUAGUCGUAAACAAGUUAACACAGAAAAAGGAAACAAAAUAUCACAUGUUCUCACUUGAAAGUGAGUGCUAAAGGUUGAGCACAUGUGGACAUGACCAUGGAAACAAUAGGCACUGUGAACUGCUGGAGUGGGGAGGGAGAGAGAGGUGCAUGGGUUGAAAGACUGACUAUUGGGUAUUAUGCUAACUCCCUGGGUGAGGGGAUCCAUACCCCAAACCUCAGCAUCACACAAUAUGCCCAUGUAAAAAAACUUGCAUAUGUACCCCCUGUACCUGAAAUAAAAGUUGAAAUUUUAAAAAUAAUAUUAAAAUUAUAAUUAAAUAAUUUUUCUUCAAUUUUUUGAAUAGUUUAACAAUAAUCUGUUUUCAUGAUUUUUUUUUAAGUUAAGUAGAACACAACUGUGAAACCAUCAGGUCCUGAACAUUUCUGUGAUGGGAGACUUUUCAUUAUUAUUAUCUCCUGUUAUUCAUUGUUCUGUUUAGGCUUUCUACUUCUUCUUGGUUCAGUCUUGGUAGUUUGCAUGUGUUCAUGAAUUUAUCCAUUUCCUCUAGGUUCUUGAAUUUUCUCUAGCAUAUAGUUGUUCAUAAUACCCUCUAAUGAUCUUUUGUAUUUUUGUGGUAUCAUUGUGAUGUCUCUUUUUUCAUUUCUGAUUGUAUGUAUAUGGGCAUUUUCUCUUUUCAUUUGUAGUUAAUCUAGAUAAUGCCUUCUUGCUUUUUUACAUUUUCAAGAAAACAACUGUUUUGCUGAUCCCUUUUGUUAUUACUUAUUUAUUUUUGGAGAUGGAGUCUUGUUCUGUUGCCAGGCUGGAGUACAGUGGCGCGAUCUCGGCUCACUGCAACCUCGGCCUCCCAGAUUCGAGGGAUUCCCCUGCCUCAGCCUCCCAAGUAGCUGGGAAUAUAGGCGUGUGCCACCACGCCUGGCUAAUUUUUUGUAUUUUGGUAGAGACGGGGUUUCACCAUGUUGGCCAAGAUGGUCUCAAUCACCUGACCUCAUGAUCCGCCCCCCUCGGCCUCCCAAAAAGCUGGGAUUACAGUCAUGAGUCACCGCGCCCGGCCUUGCUGAUCCUUUAUAGAUUUUUUUUUCUGUAUUUUAAAAUUCUGCUCUGAUAUUUACUGUCUAUUUUUUCUACAAUUAUGAAUUCUGUUUGUUCUUGCUUCUCUAGUUCUUAAGACACAUAGGUGGGUGGUUUUUGAGAAAUCGUUCUACUUUUUUGAUUUAGGUGUUUAUUGCUAGAAACUUUUCUCUUAAUAUUGCUUUAGCUGUAACCAGUAGCUUUUGCUAUAUUGUAUUUCUAUUUUUAUUUAUUUCAAUAAAUUUUUAAAGUUUCAUUUUAAGUUAUUCCUUUAUCCAAUGGUCACACAGAAGCAUGUUGUUUAAUUUUCAUAUAUUUGCAUUGUUUCAAAUAUUCCAUCCUCUAGGGUUUCUAGUUUAUUUCAUUGUGUUUGGAAAUGAUACUUGAUAUGGCUUUGAUAUUUUUAUAAUUUCGAGACUUUUUUGUGUCCAAAUAUAUUAAAUUCUGGAGGAUGUUCAUUGUGCUGUUAAAAAGAAUGUGCAAUCUGCUGCUGUUUGGCGAAGUGUUCUGUAAGUGUCUGUUGAGUCCGUUCAGUCUGUGGUGCAAUUAUUGUUUUUGAGAUACAGUCUCGCUCUGUUGCCCAGGAGGGCGUGCAUGGGUGCCAUCAGGGCUCUAUGGAGCCUCUAUCUCCCUGGGUUCUGGUGAUUUUCCCACCUCAGCCUCCUGGGUAGCUGGAUCUUUAGGCACAUGCUACCACACUGGCUGUUUUUUAUUUUUUAUUUAUUUAUUUUUUUUGUAGAGACAGGGUUUUGCCAUGCUACCCAGGCUAGUCUCAAACUCCUGAGCUCUCUACCAAUCCACCUGCCUUAGCCUCCCAAAGUGCGGGAAUUACAGAUGUGAGUUAUUGUGCCUGGCCUCUGGUGCAAUUUUAAUCUGAAAUUUUCUGUUCAUUUUCUCUUUGGAUAAACUGUGCAAUGCUUUCAGUGAGGGAUUGAAGUCGCCAGCAAUUAUUGUAUUGGUGUCUAUCCUUUUAGAUCUGAUAACAUUUGCUCUGCAUACCUGGGUACUGUAUCGUUGGGUAUAUAUCUUUAAAAUUCUUAUGCCUUCUUCCUGGGUUGAACUCUUUAUUUAUACAUAGUGUCCUUCUUUGUCUGUCUUUACAGCUUUUAACUUAAAGUCUGGUUUAUCCACUACAAGUAUAGCUACUCCAGGUGAAGUUAGUUUUUAUUUGCAUUACAUAACUUUUUCCAUACCUUCAUAUUCAACGUAAGUGCAUCAUUACAAUUGGAGUGAGUUUUUUGUAGGUAACUGAUAUAGUUUGGAUGCUUGUUCACUUCAGAUCUCAUGUUGCAAUGUUAUCUCCGGUGUUGGAGGUAGGACCUAGAGGGAGGUUUUUGGGUCGUGAACACGGAUCUCUCAUAAAAGCCUUGAUGCCCUUCACGUGGUAAUGAGUGUGUUCUCAUUCUAUUCGUUCACAUGAUACCUGGCUGUUUAAGGAGCAUGGCACCCACCCAACAACCUUAAUUUUCUGCCUUUUCUUCUCUUCUAUCGCCAUUCACAUACGUGCUCCUUUUUCACCUUCUGCCACAAUUGAAAACUUCCUGAGGCCAUCGACAGAAGCAGAUGCCAGUACUAUGCUUCUUGUACAGCCUGCAGAACUGUCAGCCAAAUAUACCUUUAUUUUAUUAUACUUUACAUAAUUUUAUUUUUAUUUCCAUAGGUUUUGGGGGAAGAGGUAGGGUUUGGUUACAUGAGUAAUUUCUUUGGUGAUGAUUUAUGAGAUUUUGGCGCACCCAUCACCCCAACAGUAUACACUGUACCCAAUUUGUAGUCUUUUAUCCCUCAGCCCCCCUCAUCUAUUCCAAGUCCCCAAAGUCUAUUGUAUCAUUCUUAUGCCUUUGCAUCCUCAUAGCUUAUUUCCCACGUAUGAGUGAGAACAUAUAAUGUUUAGUUUCCCACUUCUGAGCUACUUCACUUAGAAUAAUGGUCUCCAAUUCCAUCCAGGUUGCUGUGACUGUCAUUAUUUUGUUCCUUUUUAUGGCUUAAUAAUAUUCCAUGGUAAAUAUAUACACACACACACACACACAUAUAUAUACACGUGUAUAUAUAUACAUCUAUACAUAUAUACACAUAUACACGUAUAUAUGUACAUAUAUAAAAAAUAU